UAAUACAGAGGGUGCAAGCGUUAAUCGGAAUUACUGGGCGUAAAGCGCGCGUAGGCCGUCGAGUAAGUCGGAUGUGAAAUCCCCGGGCUUAACCUGGGAAUUGCAUUCGAUACUGCUUGGCUAGAGUGUGGAAGAGGGAAGCGGAAUUUCCGGUGUAGCGGUGAAAUGCGUAGAUAUCGGAAGGAACACCAGUGGCGAAGGCGGCUUCCUGGUCCAACACUGACGCUGAGGCGCGAAAGCGUGGGGAGCGAACAGGAUUAGAUACCCUGGUAGUCCACGCUGUAAACGAUGAGAACUAGAUGUUGGGGGGUAUAACCCCUCAGUGUCGCAGCUAACGCGUUAAGUUCUCCGCCUGGGGAGUACGGCCGCAAGGUUGAAACUCAAAUGAAUUGACGG
Molecule: ribosomal RNA, 396 nt
Filed under: uncultured bacterium
Lineage: Bacteria
Description: bacterial SSU rRNA
Rfam family: Bacterial small subunit ribosomal RNA
Source: RNAcentral